This 71-nucleotide transfer RNA is filed under the name Myxococcales bacterium. RNAcentral's name for it is "tRNA-Gln". It matches the Rfam family "tRNA". From Rfam's summary of the family: Transfer RNA (tRNA) molecules are approximately 80 nucleotides in length. Their secondary structure includes four short double-helical elements and three loops (D, anti-codon, and T loops). Lineage: Bacteria; Pseudomonadati; Myxococcota; Myxococcia; Myxococcales. The record is from RNAcentral.
UGGGGCGUCGUCCAAGGGCAGGACAACGGUUUUUGGUGCCGUCGAUCUAGGUUCGAAUCCUAGCGCCCCAA